Anneissia japonica is the source of this 829-nucleotide long non-coding RNA. RefSeq lists it as uncharacterized. NCBI's taxonomy places the organism in Eukaryota, Metazoa, Echinodermata, Crinoidea, Comatulida, Comatulidae. The transcript has 2 exons. The record is from RefSeq and is a predicted model, not a curated record.
GUAAAAGCAUUUAUUUAAGUUAUUAUAUUUACAGGAAAAAUGGAAAAUCCAACACCACUGUCAAUCCAAACAGCAACUAUAGAACAACCAUCAACAAGACACGGCAAACACCAACUACUUCAAGAGCCAACUUCAUUAACUGGAAUGGUGAAAAGGAUGUUGAACUAUUACGCGAAAUGGCUGUGACAAAUCCUUUUAUGCAUAAAAAGGGAACCAGAGAGCAAAGCGUUUAUGGGAUAAUAUUGCAGAAAAUCUGAACAAAAUAGAUGGCUACAAAGUAGAUCAGCAUAGCAAAAAAAAAAUGCAAAUGAAAUAAAGGAGAGGCAGAAGAUAAAAAAAAAGACAGAUGUAAUAAUGGAGCAGUUAAAGUUACAGAGCACCCAAAUGAAUAUGCUCAUGCAGUUGUUGUUGAGUAAGGAGAAGUAAUAUCUAGCUAUCAAAUGAAUGGACAGGUAUUUUCAAUUUUUAUCUGGCUCUUGAGUUGAACAGGCUGUUGGUCUUGCAAGUACAGUACAGUAUUAUGUUUUCGACUGCUUGGACAUGUCUACAUUUAAAAAAAAUACGUAAAAAAUAUAAGUAGAAUUAAGACUUUAAAAAAUGAAUAAAAAUGUUGACCUUUGAUGUUGUAUCUGUUUAGGUUGUAUCGUUUAGUCAUGUUAACAUUAAUGCAAACCUUUGUUGUUUGGCCUCACUAAAAUGUCAAUAAUGUAGGCUAUUAUGUUGUCAAUUUUUCACAGCUGGUUUUUAUACUGUAUUUUACUUUGGUUUUGACAUUCAAACCUGGACUAGUACAGAAGAACAGUAUUAAAUAAAAAGAGAUUUGUAUUUA